UGGUAAUUAGUUUAACUAAAAUAAAUGAUUUCGGCUCAUUAGAUUAUGAUCAUCUUCAUAAUUACCAU
Molecule: transfer RNA, 68 nt
Filed under: Millardia meltada (soft-furred rat)
Lineage: Eukaryota; Metazoa; Chordata; Mammalia; Rodentia; Muridae
Description: tRNA-Arg
Source: RNAcentral